UUCAGCAAAUAUUUUAUCAAA
This 21-nucleotide non-coding RNA is filed under the name Caenorhabditis elegans. Lineage: Eukaryota; Metazoa; Nematoda; Chromadorea; Rhabditida; Rhabditidae. The record is from RNAcentral.